RNAcentral lists this ribosomal RNA (394 nucleotides) under uncultured bacterium. RNAcentral describes it as "partial 16S ribosomal RNA". It matches the Rfam family "Bacterial small subunit ribosomal RNA", at positions 338 to 729 of the family's 1533-position model. The record is from RNAcentral.
CCUACGGGAGGCUGCAGUGAGGAAUAUUGGUCAAUGGACGCAAGCCUGAACCAGCCAAGCCGCGUGCAGGAAGACGGCUCUAUGGAUUGUAAACUUCUUUUGUCCGAGGGUAAAUCCCGAUACGUGUAUCGGAUUGAAAGUAUCCUACGAAUAAGCAUCGGCUAACUCCGUGCCAGCAGCCGCGGUAAUACGGAGGAUUCAAGCGUUAUCCGGCUUUUUUGGGUUUAAAUGGUGCGUAGGCGGGUCGAUAAAGUAGCGGUGAAAUUUCGGGGCUCAACUCCGGCCGUGCGUGUGAUACUGGCGGGCUAGAGUUGGGGAGAGGUAGGCGGAAUGUGUGGUGUAGCGGUGAAAUGCAUAGAGAUCACGCAGAACGCCGAUUGCGAAGGCAGCAUAC